Molecule: unclassified non-coding RNA, 411 nt
Filed under: Melitaea cinxia (Glanville fritillary)
Lineage: Eukaryota; Metazoa; Arthropoda; Insecta; Lepidoptera; Nymphalidae
Description: misc RNA ENSMCXG00005004887.1
Source: RNAcentral
UUUAUUCAUUAUCAUUAUAAAUUCAAGAUAGCCGCCGCUACAAAAUGGCGGAUAAUUUAUGUUUUAUUAAUCCCAUCAAUAUGGGUAUCAAAUGAAAGGGCUCAACAAGCAGAAUACAAUAUACUAUACAAAAUUGAAAUCCAAGAUGGCGGCCGCUACAAAAUGGCGGAUAACGUAGGUUUUAUCGAUCCCAUCAAUAUGGGUAUCAAAUGAAAGUGCUCAACCAGUAUAAUCAAUGUACUAUAUAAAAUUAAAAUCCAAGAUGGCAGCCUCUACAAAAUGGCGGAUAACUUAGGUUUUAUCAAUCCCAUCAACAUGGGUAUCAAAUGAAAGGUCUCAACAAGUAGAAUACAAUUUACUAUGCAAAAUUGAAAUCUAAGCUGGCCGCCGCUACCAAAUGUCUGAUAACAA